This 253-nucleotide ribosomal RNA is filed under the name uncultured bacterium. RNAcentral describes it as "partial 16S ribosomal RNA". It matches the Rfam family "Bacterial small subunit ribosomal RNA", at positions 524 to 776 of the family's 1533-position model. The record is from RNAcentral.
UACGAAGGGUGCAAGCGUUGCCCGGAAUUAUUGGGCGUAAAGCGCACGUAGGCGGCUUGGCAAGUCGGAUGUGAAAGCCCUCGGCUCAACCAAGGAAGUGCAUCCGAAACUGCUGAGCUUGAGUACUUAAGAGGAUCGCGGAAUUCCCGGUGUAGAGGUGAAAUUCGUAGAUAUCGGGAGGAACACCAGUGGCGAAGGCGGCGAUCUGGGAAGAUACUGACGCUGAGGUGCGAAAGCGUGGGGAGCAAACAGG